GCCUGGGUGGCUCAGUCAGUUGAGCGUCCGGUUUCGGCUCGGGUCAUGAUCUCACAGCUCGUGGGUUCGAGCCCCGCGUCGGGCU
RNAcentral lists this transfer RNA (85 nucleotides) under Felis catus (domestic cat). It matches the Rfam family "tRNA". From Rfam's summary of the family: Transfer RNA (tRNA) molecules are approximately 80 nucleotides in length. Lineage: Eukaryota; Metazoa; Chordata; Mammalia; Carnivora; Felidae. The record is from Rfam by way of RNAcentral. RNAcentral also lists the same sequence under 2 other names.